Molecule: ribosomal RNA, 497 nt
Filed under: uncultured bacterium
Lineage: Bacteria
Description: partial 16S ribosomal RNA
Rfam family: Bacterial small subunit ribosomal RNA
Source: RNAcentral
GAUGAACGCUGGCGGCGUGCCUAAUACAUGCAAGUCGAGCGAACAGACGAGGAGCUUGCUCCUCUGACGUUAGCGGCGGACGGGUGAGUAACACGUGGAUAACCUACCUAUAAGACUGGGAUAACUUCGGGAAACCGGAGCUAAUACCGGAUAAUAUAUUGAACCGCAUGGUUCAAUAGUGAAAGACGGUUUUGCUGUCACUUAUAGAUGGAUCCGCGCCGCAUUAGCUAGUUGGUAAGGUAACGGCUUACCAAGGCAACGAUGCGUAGCCGACCUGAGAGGGUGAUCGGCCACACGGGAACGGAGACACGGUCCAGACGCCUACGGGAGGCAGCAGUAGGGAAUCUUCCGCAAUGGGCGAAAGCCUGACGGAGCAACGCCGCGUGAGUGAUGAAGGUCUUCGGAUCGUAAAACUCUGUUAUUAGGGAAGAACAAAUGUGUAAGUAACUAUGCACGUCUUGACGGUACCUAAUCAGAAAGCCACGGCUAACUACGUG